UGGUGGCCAGACUGAGUUGACCCUUUCUAAAUGCCGGUGCAUGCAAUACUAUGGAAUGGAGUUGGUCUGAGUGUUGAAGUGGGAUGUUUUAAAUGGAGAUUAAUUUGGCAUACCAGUGUCUCCAUGGAACGUCUUUCCAGUUUUGAUAAAUGAUGUGAAAAUGCCCCUUCCUGGGAACAACACAAGGGUGUAAAAUGCUGCUUGUUAAAAUAUGUUAGAUGUGUUUUUGAUUUUGCCCUUAAAAGUAUAACGUCAUGGUUUUGUUCAGUGCUCAAUGAUUGAUUCAAUGUAUGGCUGCAGCAAAUUGCAUACAGAAAAAAAAAAAAAAAA
RNAcentral lists this unclassified non-coding RNA (330 nucleotides) under Hevea brasiliensis (rubber tree). Lineage: Eukaryota; Viridiplantae; Streptophyta; Magnoliopsida; Malpighiales; Euphorbiaceae. The record is from RNAcentral.